This is a long non-coding RNA of Telopea speciosissima, 145 nucleotides long. RefSeq lists it as uncharacterized. NCBI's taxonomy places the organism in Eukaryota, Viridiplantae, Streptophyta, Magnoliopsida, Proteales, Proteaceae. The transcript has 2 exons. The record is from RefSeq and is a predicted model, not a curated record.
CUACUCUUCAUGUCUCCCUUUUCUCAAUUUCGAGCUCAGAAACUUUAAGGGAGAUUCACAGAGAAGAAUAGAAGACGAAACCGAAACCAAAAGCUGGACUCUUUAAAUGGAUAGAAAAUGAAGAACGUGCAGAAUGAGGAGAAUA